AAGAAGAAUCCUGAAGAUUUCUA
This 23-nucleotide small nuclear RNA is filed under the name Arabidopsis thaliana (thale cress). RNAcentral describes it as "snRNA_16143". Lineage: Eukaryota; Viridiplantae; Streptophyta; Magnoliopsida; Brassicales; Brassicaceae. The record is from RNAcentral.